GUUCUCGCUCGCGUGCGCUCGGUUACCGGAACCACCGCGCCACCGCGCCGUGUCGUGGUGGGGAUUUUUCCGCCGCCACCAGGAAACCCACCGGCAGCCGCAAUCGGGGGGCAAUAUCUGGUUGGGGUGCUUCGUAGGGUUGCACCGAGUCUUGUUAAUGCAUCUACGGGCGCACUAGAUGGUUGGGACUGCUCACCGGAGCUCUGCGGGCAGCUCCGGGCCGCAUCGGUGCCAUGGUCAGGACUCCUCACUUCUCAAAUUACCGUUAAAUUUUCCCUUUCGCGCUCACCAGGGCCCCUGCUACGAUUAGUUCUCUUUAGAUCGGGGUUUGUUGCACUAAUGCGGUGUAUGGGCGUGCCCAGUAUGGCCGCCGCCGCGGUAAGCGCGCGUUCCGCCGCUUGCGCACUGGCGUGGGGUGGAAGACGGCGUAUGGGCUGUCCGAUCUUUGACGAGCGCGUAAGAUUAGUUCGUGUUGUAAGGAGCCUGGGCCAUCGGAUCGGAAUUGAAGGGAUACGAUUCGAUCGUGGGGAUACCGAUUCGGGGGCUUAAUUUCGACCAUUGAUUGUCUAUCCAAUGGUUUGGGUUAGAUAUGGGCGUGGAGUGUUGCGGUACAUGGAUCCCGGAUCAAACGGUUAUCAUCGCGUACCGGUUCAUGAAGAGAUAAUCUAAUUUACACCGCCAGUUUCUGAUCUGACGGUGCUCGUUGUCCGAUACCCUUUCGGCUAGCCAUCUUUACAUAAGAGCCCUCGGAGGAAAUGAAAUUCAGCCCACAGUCCAGGCGGCUAAUGCUCUGUGUCUUAGAGAUUCUCACACUAGGGCCCCUGCGGAUUUCUGGAUUCAUGCACCCAGUCCUGGGAGUUAGAAAAUUAGAUAAAUGGAUUUAAAAAUAGAUU
Molecule: long non-coding RNA, 893 nt
Organism: Zea mays
Lineage: Eukaryota; Viridiplantae; Streptophyta; Magnoliopsida; Poales; Poaceae
Exons: 1
Source: RefSeq, marked validated